This 591-nucleotide ribosomal RNA is filed under the name Eudorella truncatula. RNAcentral describes it as "partial large subunit ribosomal RNA". Lineage: Eukaryota; Metazoa; Arthropoda; Malacostraca; Cumacea; Leuconidae. The record is from RNAcentral.
GAAGCUCUCGAGGCUCAACGAAAGUAAACGAAGUCGCGAAGCGCCUCSCGCGCUUCGCGGUGGCAAAUCCGGGAUGAGCGCGAGCGGCGCCGCGCGCGUCGCUCCGCUUUGCGUAUUCCGGCGCACGCCAGGGGCCCGUCCACAUUCGGAUUCGAACGACGCGUUCGCCUCGCGGGGCGAGCGCCUCUCGUCGAAACGAGGACGGGCACUCCGAGCGCGCGCGUUAGUACCCGAAAGAUGGUGAUCUAUGCUUGUUUAGGASGAANCCGGGGGAAACACCGGUGGAGGUUCGUAGCGAUUCUGACGUGCAAAUCGAUCGUCGGAGCUGAAUAUAGGGGCGAAAGACCAAUCGAACUAUCUAGUAGCUGGUUCCUUCCGAAGUUUCUCUCAGGAUAGCCGGCGCUCAGUCGAACGGAGUUUCAUCCGGUAAAGAGAAUGAUUAGAGGUCCGCGGGGAUGAAACUUCCUCAGCCCAUUCUCAAACUCUAAAUGGGUGAGAAGUCGGGCUUGCGCAAACGAAGCCACGACSCKAGAAUCCGAGCGCCGAGUGGGCCACUUUUGGUGAGCAGAAUUGGCGAUGUGGGACGAACCA